This is a long non-coding RNA of Micropterus dolomieu (smallmouth bass), 4698 nucleotides long. RefSeq lists it as uncharacterized. The transcript has 4 exons. Lineage: Eukaryota; Metazoa; Chordata; Actinopteri; Centrarchiformes; Centrarchidae. The record is from RefSeq and is a predicted model, not a curated record.
ACACAUUUUUAUGUUCAGGUUUACUUGACUUGAAUACAGAUUUGUAAGGUACGGUAUUAAAUGUAAUGUAUUAUGGUCUGAGUUGGAGAGGGGGGGGGGGUUUGGCUUGACUGAAUAUGCCCCCUUUAUAUUUCCAUAACAUUUAUCUAAGAUCCUGUUAUUUCUCGUGUCACAUUUUACAUAUUGUUGAAAACCUGGCAGCACGCUCUCCAGUUUGCAGUGAUUAUAAUCACCCAAAAAAAAAAAAUAGCCUCCCCAGGUGUGCGCUGCAACUGUUCAUGUGCGCACUCUGCUAUGAGCUCGGCGGUUCAGCCUGUGUUGGCGCUGGGUGGAACAUAAAUAGCGGCUAUAAUAAUAUUGCCAAACUCCCUUGGCAAGUAGUGAUGUCUCAUAGAUAUGCAAAGCAGUUCGACAUCAGGGCUGCAUAUAGUCUCUCUCACUGUGUAUUGUUUACACCAUUUGUCACUCACGUACAUGCAGAUUCCUAAUCCGUUCCUUUUCCCGGCUCGCACCAGCGAGUAGCCACCCAAGUUGAGCAGAUAGUCCGGGACUCCUUGGUGAAGCCACGUCUCAGUGAACACCAUAAGGUUAGAUUCCCGAUACUCGAAACAGCUCCUUUGGUUAGUACGAAGCUCAUCCAUCUUGGGUGUCUAAAACAGUCUGACAUAACACCUGAAGUAAUUAUCCUAUCAGGAUUAGUGACAAGUAUCCAGUCCAGCAGGGAUGAGGACCGACAAUCAACUCUAGUUGGCUCCUUAAUUAAUUGAGUGAGAUUUACACUGCCUAAUAAGUUUUUUCAGCAGAGGAGCAAUCUGGCCAGUUGCUACUAAAAUCACCCAGGAUAAUCACUUCAUUUUGCCUUUCAAGAGAAUUAACAGUUGACAAAAUACAAUUCAUACAAUCAGUCGGAGCAGAGGGAGGCCUGUAAAUAUUUCCAAUAGUUAAAUGUUUAUUUUUAUGACAAAUAAUAUUGAUAAAAAGACACACAAAAUUAACUGGCUCUACAUUAGGUAUGACACGUUCCGAAACUAAAUUUAAAACCACGUACUAUUUCAGCUAUCCCAUCUCCUCUAGUGGGCCUAUCAGCUCUAUACAGAACAUAGUUAUCGAUUUCUACUUCCUCGUCUGUAAUAUUACUAUGUAGCCAUGUUUCAGAAAUGGUGAUAAUGCUAGGUCUAUAAAGAGUAACCUUUAAACCUUUAGCCAAAUUAAUGUUUAUUAUAUUUAUGAUAGAGGUUGAAAUAUAUCAGUAAGCAAAGUUGGUGAGGGGAAAAAGUGGCAAGAGUAACCAGACAAAGGUGGCGAGAGCAACCAGACAGAUAAACCAAGACAAACAUAAACAAUGAAAUAAAACCAAAAUAACAAACAAGCAGUCCAUGUCUGAGCAAUAUCAAACAAAACUCUACAGCUAAACUGUAGGAAAUCAGGCUUGAGAGAUCUCUUUCCAUACAUAAACAAUGGAUAACCCCAAACAUACAAAAUAUGGGAAUUAAUGUGCACCUAGUCAAAAAAUAACAACAGUAAAAGAAUACCAAAAAUUUAGUGGAUAUAAGGCAACAUACCAGUUAUAAGAUCACUGAUGACCAACCAAUGCACAACACACCAACCGGACAGCCCAAAAGAUACAUUUCCACAACAUAAGUGCUAAUAGGUCCUGUGAGGAAGAGACACCCAUCAUAUUGGAAACAAGACAUACCAGACAGUUCAACAGAAUAUGCAAAUCAUUUAAUCAGGCAUAACAACAGGACCUGGCAGCAAUCAAAUUUCAAUUGAAACAAAAUCAACUCUGGAAAACCAUACAGUCAGCAAACCAAACUGACAGGCUCGCAGGGGAAAACUGCCAAAACGGGUCCUUGUGUCCGUUCACGGCAGAGAUAGUCAACUGGAGGGGGGAAAAAAAACACACAACAAAAAAACAACUCUGUUCAGUUACUGCUAUAUAGUUGAUUGAAGACGAUUGCACCGGAAAGAAGUGUGCAUUUGCUAGUUGGAAGCAGGGCCAGGGAUGAUAGCUUUAUCAACCGAAAAAAACCUUUUCCUAGCAUCCUUCAUCGUAAUACUGAGCCUGGCAGAAAACAACAGCACACGCCUGAGGCCAAGUUUGUAAAGUUCUGACAUUACCUCUUGGUAUUUGCAGCGCUGCUCCAUUACCGCCGGUGUGUAAUCCUCAUAGACAGCACCAGGGGUUCCCUGAUGUUGAAGCUUGCCUCUCCUGGCCUGGGCUUCACGAAUAAUUAUCUCCUUCUGUUGAGAAUUAUGAAGACAGAUAAUGACAGGUCUCGGUCUUUGGCCUGGACUCGGUUUGGCCGAAGGUGCCCGGUGCGCUCUGUCACACUCGGGUGGUGAUCUCAGGACAUCCUCACCGAGAACUUCCAAAAGCAGUUUAUCAAAGAAAGUAGCUGGACGAGGUCCCUCGAUCGAUUCCGGUAAGCCCAGGAUUCUAAUGUUGUUACGCCGACUACGAGACUCCAGAUCCGCCACCUUAGCUAAAAGUUUAGCAUUGCAUUCCAUCAGUGAAGCACAAGAAACUUCAAGAGCUAAAACAUGCUCAUCCUGAAGGUUGACGUUGGCCUCUAAUGAGGAAAUUUUGUGAGCGUGGUCCGUCACUGUACUUUGAAUGCGAUACGGCUUUACUUCCAGUGUUGAGAUGGAGGCUUUAAAAUCAGCCGCAAGUGCUUUACGAUGAUCCUCCAGGAGGCUAGCCAAGGUUGCCAUGUUAAGAUCGGUGUUGAGUUCUUCAGAGGUGGGAGACACAGCAUUCUGUUCCUUCCUGCCGUGUCUCGUUGACAUUGCUGCCAUGAUUAUUCGAAGAAAUGUUAACACCAAGUUCACAGUACGUUUAGAAAGUAGUAGCGGGGUUUGAACAAUUACAAAGUCAUGGGAGCGAGAUUCGGUAUGUGUGCGCUCCUACUCCUUCACAGCCGUCAUCACAUCAUAUGCUGAUGUUAUUUCUGAGUAACUUGCCCAACACUGAUCAGGACCGCCCUCGGCUGGUUCUGAUCCAGGUUGUGUUCAGUAAACCCUUUGUGUUGCAGCUGCAGAAGCUGAUGUGUCACAUGAUGAUGGGGAGUCUGGUGAUGUUCAGGAAGGACUCUUUGCUCAACAUCCUCAGUGAGACACUCUCAGAGGACACCUGUCCUCGCGUUUUCUUUUUCAUGUGUCCACAGCUGAGUCUCUGGACUGGGAGACCUUCGAGCAGUACAGGACCUGACAGCUGUUCCUGGCUCACAGCCUCCCCCUGGAGACCAUCAUCCCCAUCCUGCAGCACCUUAAAUAUAAAGAACACCCGGAGGCCCUGUCCUGUCUGCUGCUGCUGCUCCGCAUAGAGAAGCCCAGUGAGGAGAUGGUGGAGAUGGUCCUGAGUUGUCCCUGUCACCCCGAGGACCAGUUCACUACCAGCAUCCUGAGACACUGGGCGUCCAAUCACCACAAUACGCUCACACGCACACAUCAAGGCCCAGCUGGUCAAGAACAACAACCAGCCCCGCAAGAAACAGAGGUGAGGACAGACAGUCUUCACUCAGACCCCGAUCCUUCGGCUCUGCAGCACGUUCAGGCCAUCUGUGACGAGGUCCACAAGAUGAGGGAGGCACGCACUCACACACACUGAUGGGUGACAUGAGUACAAGGUACAAGGUACAAGUACAAGUACAAGGACUCCCAGAUCAAGCCUACCAAGUCCCGCCGAAAGGCUCCGGCCUCCUCGCUUCGCUUCCGCCCAACAACGAGGAGGAGUGCUCCGCCAGCAGUGUGUCAGUACGUAGCCCCACCUCCACCUGCUCCUGUGUAAGGACAACCUGAAUCUGUGUCUUGUUCUUUGAAUGUUUAAUGUGUGUAAUUUGAUAUUUAAUGUGUCUGAUUUGUGAAACCAGGAAGCAGCUUUGUGUCUUCACCAAGAAGGAACCUCCAGGUUUGAAAAGUGAAACCUCAAACCUGCCCUGACAGGAACAGUAACCAUAAACUAAUGAGUUUAUGGUCUCAGUCGCUAGUCUUCUUCAACACAGCAUGAUGUUCAUUUAGUAAAUUAUGGUCCCAUUUAGAGGAAAAUAGACCUGAAAGCAGGGGAGGCCUUAGGGCGGGGCCACCUUGUGAUUGACAAAUUGCUAUGUGUGACCCAAAUAUGGUACCCCAUGGAUGUUCAGUCUGUGUUCAGGACGGAGCUGAACACCUAUUUUAUCUCAGCUGGACAGGUAGGCUGGAAUAAAAUACAACUUUCAGCUUCCUGCUUAACUUCCAGUCUGAAGGGGAGGGGUUUGUUAACCUGCUUCACUUCUCCAGCCGUUUGGGAACAGACUUUUGUUGGUCUGGAGAAGCUGAAGCAUUUAUUACCUGACACAUGACACUGUUCUUUUACUGCCUGAAUAUUUUCCUUCUCUGAGAUUCACCGUGACUUUCUGUCAUUCAGACAAUCAAACACUCUGAGACCUCCAGAUUAAAGGAGCUGCUCUGAUAAUAGCACCUGUACGGUAGACAUCCUGCAGAGUUUCCGCGAGGUCUUAAAAAAAUUUCAAAAUCAAUAUUUAAGGCCUUAAAAAGUAUUACAUUUGCUGAAGUUUGUGUUCUAGGUCUUAAAUAAUUUAUUUUCCAACAUACAUGUAACGCUACCUCUAAUGCUCGUUGAAAUUGUCCCAGCUCUGUCCUCUAAUGUAUAUCUCGAUAGUUACAUUAAAUUAAAAAGAAAGGACGGUGUUGAGGUUA